UUCACGCUCCUACCCAUGUAUAAAAUAGCUCCUACCUCAAAUUCUGGCGGGCGAUUUAUGCUAGUAGCAGGAGUGCAAGUCCAACGGCGGGAGGUGGAAUUCAUUCAUAUUUUCCCCAAGUAGAUCCAAGAAAAGUCGGAGUGUGUCAGGAGUUUAUCCCCCCUCAGAAAGUGGUGACAGAAUCAACAGCUUCAACUAGAGGCCCUUCAGCCCAGUCUCCCUUUGCCCCUACAAGUGAACCAGCCCCACACCUAGAGUAUGAGUUUAUUCGAUUAGGACAACGCUCGUUAAUCAACAUUUCAGCGGUAUGCAUCAAGAAGGGUCUGCCAGCC
Molecule: long non-coding RNA, 332 nt
Organism: Notolabrus celidotus (New Zealand spotty)
Lineage: Eukaryota; Metazoa; Chordata; Actinopteri; Labriformes; Labridae
Exons: 4
Source: RefSeq, a predicted model, not a curated record